GAUGAACGCUGGCGGCGUGCCUAAUACAUGCAAGUCGAGCGAACAGACGAGGAGCUUGCUCCUCUGACGUUAGCGGCGGACGGGUGAGUAACACGUGGAUAACCUACCUAUAAGACUGGGAUAACUUCGGGAAACCGGAGCUAAUACCGGAUAAUAUAUUGAACCGCAUGGUUCAAUAGUGAAAGACGGUUUUGCCGUCACUUAUAGAUGGAUCCGCGCCGCAUUAGCUAGUUGGUAAGGUAACGGCUUACCAAGGCAACGAUGCGUAGCCGACCUGAGAGGGUGAUGCGCCAAACUGGAACUGAGCCACGGACCAGACUCCUACGGGAAGCAGCAGUAGGGAAUCUUCCGCAAUGGGCGAAAGCCUGACGGAGCAACGCCGCGUGAGUGAUGAAGGUCUUCGGAUCGUAAAACUCUGUUAUUAGGGAAGAACAAAUGUGUAAGUAACUAUGCACGUCUUGACGGUACCUAAUCAGAAAGCCACGGCUAACUACGUG
This 497-nucleotide ribosomal RNA is filed under the name uncultured bacterium. Its description in RNAcentral is "partial 16S ribosomal RNA". It matches the Rfam family "Bacterial small subunit ribosomal RNA", at positions 28 to 507 of the family's 1533-position model. The record is from RNAcentral.